AUUGAACGCUGGCGGCAGGCCUAACACAUGCAAGUCGAGCGGAUGAAGGGAGCUUGCUCCUGGAUUCAGCGGCGGACGGGUGAGUAAUGCCUAGGAAUCUGCCUGGUAGUGGGGGAUAACGUCCGGAAAUGGGCGCUAAUACCGCAUACGUCCUGAGGGAGAAAGUGGGGGAUCUUCGGACCUCACGCUAUCAGAUGAGCCUAGGUCGGAUUAGCUAGUUGGUGGGGUAAAGGCCUACCAAGGCGACGAUCCGUAACUGGUCUGAGAGGAUGAUCAGUCACACUGGAACUGAGACACGGUCCAGACUCCUACGGGAGGCAGCAGUGGGGAAUAUUGGACAAUGGGCGAAAGCCUGAUCCAGCCAUGCCGCGUGUGUGAAGAAGGUCUUCGGAUUGUAAAGCACUUUAAGUUGGGAGGAAGGGUAGUAAGUUAAUACCUUGCUGUUUUGACGUUACCAACAGAAUAAGCACCGGCUAACUUCGUG
Molecule: ribosomal RNA, 484 nt
Filed under: uncultured bacterium
Lineage: Bacteria
Description: partial 16S ribosomal RNA
Rfam family: Bacterial small subunit ribosomal RNA
Source: RNAcentral